This 253-nucleotide ribosomal RNA is filed under the name uncultured bacterium. RNAcentral describes it as "partial 16S ribosomal RNA". It matches the Rfam family "Bacterial small subunit ribosomal RNA", at positions 524 to 776 of the family's 1533-position model. The record is from RNAcentral.
GACAGAGGUGCCGAGCGUUAGGCGGAAUCACUGGGCUUAAAGCGUGUGUAGGCGGGCGAUCAAGUACCUUGUGAAAUCCCUCGGCUCAACCAAGGAAGUGCAUCCGAAACUGCUGAGCUUGAGUACUUAAGAGGAUCGCGGAAUUCCCGGUGUAGAGGUGAAAUUCGUAGAUAUCGGGAGGAACACCAGUGGCGAAGGCGGCGAUCUGGGAAGAUACUGACGCUGAGGUGCGAAAGCGUGGGGAGCAAACAGG